GACGAACGCUGGCGGCGUGCCUAACACAUGCAAGUCGAACGGACAGGCCCUGCUCUUGUGGGGUGCUCGAGUGGCGCACGGGUGAGUAACACGUGUGUAUCCUGUCCUUGACUUUGGGAUAACUUCAGGAAACUGCGGAUCAUAUACCAUAGGAGCUCUUGCUGCAUGGUGGGGGUUGGAAAGUUUCGGCGGUUGGGGAUGGACUAGCAGCUUAUCCGCUUGUUUGUGGGGUAGUGGCAUACCAAGGUUUUGACGGGUAGCCGGCCUGGGAGGCUGGCCGGGGACAUGAGGACUAAGAUACGGCGCAGACGCCAACGGGAGGCAACGGGGGAGAACAUUGCAGAGUAGGCGGGAGCCAGUGACGACGACGCCGCGAUCGGAAAGAUCGGCUUCGGGUUGUGAACCGAUGUCGCCGGAGACGAGGCGGGAUUGACGGUAAUGGGUAAAGAAGCACCGGCUAACUACGUG
This 468-nucleotide ribosomal RNA is filed under the name uncultured bacterium. RNAcentral describes it as "partial 16S ribosomal RNA". It matches the Rfam family "Bacterial small subunit ribosomal RNA", at positions 28 to 507 of the family's 1533-position model. The record is from RNAcentral.